This 101-nucleotide small nuclear RNA is filed under the name Rhipicephalus microplus (southern cattle tick). The record is from RNAcentral. Lineage: Eukaryota; Metazoa; Arthropoda; Arachnida; Ixodida; Ixodidae.
GUAUUUUCAAAGUACAUAUACUAAAAAACAAUGAUACAGAGUAAUCAGCAUGGCCCCUGAGCAAGGAUUACACGCAAAAUUGUGAGACAUUCCAGAUUUUU